Molecule: small nucleolar RNA, 69 nt
Organism: Xiphias gladius (swordfish)
Lineage: Eukaryota; Metazoa; Chordata; Actinopteri; Istiophoriformes; Xiphiidae
Product: small nucleolar RNA SNORD27
Exons: 1
Source: RefSeq, a predicted model, not a curated record
UUAACAUGAUGAUUUAUUAAUGACAAGCAUAUGCCUGAAUAAAGUGAUGUCAUUUUAUAAUCUGAUUAC